GAUGAAGAACGUAGCGAAAUGCGAUAAGUAAUGUGAAUUGCAGAAUUCAGUGAAUCAUCGAAUCUUUGAACGCACAUUGCGCCCCCUGGUAUUCCGGGGGGCAUGCCUGUCCGAGCGUCAUUGCUGCCCUCAAGCACGGCUUGUGUGUUGGGCUCCGUCCCCCCGGGGACGGGUCCGAAAGGCAGCGGCGGCACCGAGUCCGGUCCUCGAGCGUAUGGGGCUUUGUCACCCGCUCUGUAGGCCCGGCCGGCGCCAGCCGACAACCAAUCAUCCUUUUUUCAGGUUGACCUCGGAUCAGGUAGGGAUACCCGCUGAACUUAAGCAUAUCAAUAAGCGGAGGA
Molecule: unclassified non-coding RNA, 341 nt
Filed under: soil metagenome
Description: partial contains 5.8S ribosomal RNA, internal transcribed spacer 2, and large subunit ribosomal RNA
Rfam family: 5.8S ribosomal RNA (bases 1-120)
Source: RNAcentral